Molecule: ribosomal RNA, 500 nt
Filed under: uncultured bacterium
Lineage: Bacteria
Description: partial 16S ribosomal RNA
Rfam family: Bacterial small subunit ribosomal RNA
Source: RNAcentral
AUUGAACGCUGGCGGAAUGCUUUACACAUGCAAGUCGAGCGGCAGCACGGACUUCGGUCUGGUGGCGAGUGGCGAACGGGUGAGUAAUGUAUCGGAACGUGCCCAGUCGUGGGGGAUAACGUAGUGAAAAUUACGCUAAUACCGCAUACGAUCUAUGGAUGAAAGCGGGGGAUCGCAAGACCUCGCGCGAUUGGAGCGGCCGAUAUCAGAUUAGGUAGUUGGUGGGGUAAAGGCCCACCAAGCCCACGAUCUGUAGCUGGUCUGAGAGGACGACCAGCCACACUGGAACUGAGACACGGUCCAGACUCCUACGGGAGGCAGCAGUGGGGAAUUUUGGACAAUGGGCGAAAGCCUGAUCCAGCCAUUCCGCGUGCAGGAUGUAGGCCCUCGGGUUGUAAACUGCUUUUGUACAGAACGAAAAGGUUUCUACUAAUACUAGGAGCUCAUGACGGUACUGUAAGAAUAAGCACCGGCUAACUACGUGCCAGCCGCCGCGGUAA